CUCGGUAAUGAUCCUUCCGUAGGUGAACCUGCGGAAGGAUCAUUACCGAGUGCGGGUCCUUUGGGCCCAACCUCCCAUCCGUGUCUAUUGUACCCUGUUGCUUCGGCGGGCCCGCCGCUUGUCGGCCGCCGGGGGGGCGCCUCUGCCCCCCGGGCCCGUGCCCGCCGGAGACCCCAACACGAACACUGUCUGAAAGCGUGCAGUCUGAGUUGAUUGAAUGCAAUCAGUUAAAACUUUCAACAAUGGAUCUCUUGGUUCCGGCAUCGAUGAAGAACGCAGCGAAAUGCGAUAACUAAUGUGAAUUGCAGAAUUCAGUGAAUCAUCGAGUCUUUGAACGCACAUUGCGCCCCCUGGUAUUCCGGGGGGCAUGCCUGUCCGAGCGUCAUUGCUGCCCUCAAGCCCGGCUUGUGUGUUGGGUCGCCGUCCCCCUCUCCGGGGGGACGGGCCCGAAAGGCAGCGGCGGCACCGCGUCCGAUCCUCGAGCGUAUGGGGCUUUGUCACAUGCUCUGUAGGAUUGGCCGGCGCCUGCCGACGUUUUCCAACCAUUCUUUCCAGGUUGACCUCGGAUCAGGUAGGGAUACCCGCUGAACUUAAGCAUAUCAAUAAGCGGAGGAA
Molecule: ribosomal RNA, 615 nt
Filed under: Aspergillus sp. MR55
Lineage: Eukaryota; Fungi; Ascomycota; Eurotiomycetes; Eurotiales; Aspergillaceae
Description: eukaryotic LSU rRNA
Rfam family: 5.8S ribosomal RNA (bases 232-385)
Source: RNAcentral